UGAUUCGGAAGACACUGUGGUACUAUAUGUUUUUUUCAAUGAAGAUACAGUAGGAAUAGUUUCUUCAGAAACAACAGUUGUUGUAGAUUGUUCAGGUAACGAGGAAUAUUGAAAAGUUGUUUCUGAAGUAAUAUCGACACUAAUAUUCAAAGGAGUUACACUUACAUUAGUUAGUGGCAUAAAAUUAAUCGUGGUUUCAUGCAAGGAAGCUAAAUUUGAUUCAGAUGAAUUUGUGAUGUUGUAUAUUUCUACUAAUAAAGGAGUAUCUAUGUAUGUAUUUUCUUUAA
Long non-coding RNA from Melitaea cinxia (Glanville fritillary), 287 nucleotides. RefSeq lists it as uncharacterized. The record is from RefSeq and is a predicted model, not a curated record. The transcript is spliced from 2 exons. Lineage: Eukaryota; Metazoa; Arthropoda; Insecta; Lepidoptera; Nymphalidae.